UACAGAGGGUGCGAGCGUUAAUCGGAAUUACUGGGCGUAAAGCGUGCGUAGGCGGUUAUUUAAGUCGGGUGUGAAAGCCCCGGGCUCAACCUGGGAAUUGCAUUCGAGACUGAAUAGCUAGGGUACGGUAGAGGGAAGCGGAAUUUCCGGUGUAGCGGUGAAAUGCGUAGAUAUCUGGAGGAACACCGGUGGCGAAGGCGGCAUCCUGGACCAUUAUUGACGCUGAGGAGCGAAAGCCAGGGGAGCAAACGGG
RNAcentral lists this ribosomal RNA (253 nucleotides) under uncultured bacterium. RNAcentral describes it as "partial 16S ribosomal RNA". It matches the Rfam family "Bacterial small subunit ribosomal RNA", at positions 524 to 776 of the family's 1533-position model. The record is from RNAcentral.